CCAGGGGGCGCCAUGCUCCAGUAGGCGGCGCUCUCCUUGUGCUCUGUGUUCCAGCAUUGUGUCAAUAAGAAGUGGUGCUGUGAAGAGAACAAUAGUCAGACUGAAUGUUGAACAUCAGCUGCUUCCUCCUGCUGAUUUAAACCUUGGUGGACAGAUGGAACAUUGGCUGUGGAUUAUUCUGGCUGCUCUUUUCUCUGAGUGUAAAGGAGACUCAGUGAAGCAGACAGAAGGAGAAGUUGUUGCUGCUGCAGGAGAAUCACUGACUCUGAGAUGUACCUAUCAGACUACUGAUACAAAUCAUGCUGUGUUCUGGUACAGACAAGAAGAUAACAGCUUUGCAAAGUACAUGCUGAAGCAAUAUUUCACAACCAGAGACAAUGCUCCUGAGUUUAGCAAAGACAGAUUUGAUGCAAAGGUCAACAACUCAGAGUUUGACCUGAAGAUCCAGGAUCUCCGUCCGUCAGACUCUGCUGUGUACUACUGCGCUCUGCAGCCCACAGUGACAGGAAACAUCAGAACCCUGCACAAAAACCUGCAGUUCUGCACAGCAGCCAGUAGAGGGCCUCACUCCCUCUGUUCUUCCUCUGUUUCGUUGGGUUUCAGCCUGAAAUGACAUCAUGCUCAUUUUAAGUUGCUUGUUCUGUCUAAAGAGAAAAAACUGUCAAAUUUAUUUCUGUAGCAACUUUCAAAUCAACAAUAGUUGACCAAAGAGCUUCAGAUCUACAUCAGCAGUCAUAAGAUAGCAGAUGGAAUAAAACAGAUAUAAAAAAAUAAGAAUUUAUAUUUUAAGAUGUUUAGAUUUCUAAGACAUAUUUAGCUUCCAAUCCUCAGUCAAAUCCAGUUAAAUGAGAAAUGUUUAUUAAGAGACAUUUGAUAUGAUUCUUUACUGGGAUCUGAAUCAAAAUAACUGUUGAGUAAAAGAACAUUUUAAAUAAUAGAAAAUCUAAAUACGCAUUUAAUUUUAGUUAAAAAAAUAAAAGCUUUACAACUCUACCUAAUUUAAAAAUUGCAAGAUUGUAUAAUUAUUGCACAAAUAUUCAAAUAAAUUAUUUGAUAUUA
Xiphophorus couchianus (Monterrey platyfish) is the source of this 1059-nucleotide non-coding RNA. NCBI's taxonomy places the organism in Eukaryota, Metazoa, Chordata, Actinopteri, Cyprinodontiformes, Poeciliidae. The record is from the annotation of a RefSeq genome assembly.